This 72-nucleotide transfer RNA is filed under the name Eretmochelys imbricata (hawksbill sea turtle). RNAcentral describes it as "tRNA-Tyr". It matches the Rfam family "tRNA". Rfam says of the family: Transfer RNA (tRNA) molecules are approximately 80 nucleotides in length. Their secondary structure includes four short double-helical elements and three loops (D, anti-codon, and T loops). The record is from RNAcentral. Lineage: Eukaryota; Metazoa; Chordata; Testudines; Cheloniidae.
GGUAGGGUGGCUGAGUGUAUUAGCGUUGGGCUGUAGUCCCUAUUUACAGAGGUUUAAUUCCUCUUCCUAUCA